Molecule: ribosomal RNA, 468 nt
Filed under: uncultured bacterium
Lineage: Bacteria
Description: partial 16S ribosomal RNA
Rfam family: Bacterial small subunit ribosomal RNA
Source: RNAcentral
GACGAACGCUGGCGGCGUGCUUAACACAUGCAAGUCGAACGGAAAGGCCCUGCUUUUGUGGGGUGCUCGAGUGGCGAACGGGUGAGUAACACGUGAGUAACCUGCGCUUGACUUUGGGAUAACUUCAGGAAACUGGGGCUAAUACCGGAUAGGAGCUCCUGCUGCAUGGUGUGGGUUGGAAAGUUUCGGCGGUUGGGGAUGGACUCGCGGCUUAUCAGCUUGUUGGUGGGGUAGUGGCUUACCAAGGCUUUGACGGGUAGCCGGCCUGAGAGGGUGACCGGCCACAUUGGGACUGAGAUACGGCCCAGACUCCUACGGGAGGCAGCAGUGGGGAAUAUUGCACAAUGGGCGGAAGCCUGAUGCAGCAACGCCGCGUGCGGGAUGACGGCCUUCGGGUUGUAAACCGCUUUCGCCUGUGACGAAGCGUGAGUGACGGUAAUGGGUAAAGAAGCACCGGCUAACUACGUG